CAGUAGCCGCGGUAAUACGUAGGGUGCGAGCGUUAAUCGGAAUUACUGGGCGUAAAGCGUGCGCAGGCGGUUCGUUAAGUCUGCUGUGAAAUCCCCGGGCUCAACCUGGGAAUGGCAGUGGAUACUGGCUCGCUAGAGUGUGUCAGAGGAUGGUGGAAUUCCCGGUGUAGCGGUGAAAUGCGUAGAGAUCGGGAGGAACAUCAGUGGCGAAGACAGCCCCCUGGGAUAACACUGACGCUCAUGCACGAAAGCGUGGGGAGCAAACAGGAUUAGAUACCCGCGUAGUCCCUGUCUCUUAUAC
This 301-nucleotide ribosomal RNA is filed under the name uncultured bacterium. Its description in RNAcentral is "partial 16S ribosomal RNA". It matches the Rfam family "Bacterial small subunit ribosomal RNA", at positions 509 to 807 of the family's 1533-position model. The record is from RNAcentral.